Nycticebus coucang (slow loris) is the source of this 1365-nucleotide RNA transcript. It is a transcript of the gene named transcription factor BTF3 homolog 4-like, with no coding region annotated. The transcript has a single exon. The record is from RefSeq and is a predicted model, not a curated record. NCBI's taxonomy places the organism in Eukaryota, Metazoa, Chordata, Mammalia, Primates, Lorisidae.
AAAAAAAAAAAAAGAAACUAUAAAAAUACUUGAAAGUUCAGGGAAAACUCUUGAAGGAAUCAGCCUGGGUGAGUAUUUUACGGAGGAGGACUCCCCAGGCAAUUGAAGCAGUAUCAAAAAUACACUACUGGGACCUGAUCAAACUAAAAAGCUUCUGCACAGCCAAGAACAUAGUAAGUGAAGCAAGCAAACAGCCCUCAGAAUGGGAGAAAAUAUUUGCAGGUUAUACCUCUGAUAAAGGUCUAAUAACCAGAAUCCACAGAGAACUCAAACGUAUUAGCAAGAAAAGAACACGUGACCCCAUCUCAGGGUGGGCAAGGGACUUGAAGAGAAACUUCUCUAAAGAAGACAGACGCGGUCUGAGGCAGCCUUCCUGCUCUUGCCGUGUGCUGGUGUUGGAGGACCCUCCCUGCUUCAGAUUUACCAACAGCAUGAAUCAAGAAAAGUUAGCCAAACUUCAGGCUCAGGUCCGGAUGGGGGCAAGGGUACAGCUCGCAGAAAGAAGGUGGUACAUAGAAUAGCUAUAGCUGAUGCCAGAAAGCUUCAGAGUUCUCUUAAAAAACUGGCUGUGAACAAUAUAGCUGGUAUUGAAGAGGUGAACAUGAUUAAAGAUGAUGGGACAGUUAUUCAUUUCAACGAUCCCAAAGUCCAAGCUUCCCUCUCUGCUAACACCUUUGCAAUUACCGGUCAUGCAGAAGCUAAACCAAUUACAGAAAUGCUUCCUGGAAUAUUAAGUCAGCUUGGUGCUGACAGCUUAACAAGCCUUAGGAAGUUAGCUGAACAGUUCCCAUGGCAAGUCUUGGAUAGCAAAGCACCAAAACCAGAAGACAUUGAUGAGGAAGAUGAUGACGUUCUAGAUCUUGUACAAAACUUUGAUGAGGCAUCAAAGAAUGAAGCUAACUAAAAUUUUUUCUGAUUUUUGGAAGCUGGCAUGGACUAGAUUUAACAAAUCAGCUAUGUGGUUCCAAAGUUUUACAGACACGGAGAACAUCACCUGUUACUAGUUCAGUAAUAUAAGUAUUUUGUAUAUUAAUAAUGCUGUUUGUUCAGUAUUUUUCAGUCAUUUGAUUUUGCAUUUUGCACUUCCAGGAUCUGUUCUUUUGGUCAAAAUAUGAAGUAUUAGUGGAGUUUGAGGGUGUUUUGGGGUUUUGAUUCUUGGGUUUUUUGUUGGAGUACUUUUGGUGUAUGUAUGUGUAUGUAUGAUUGUCAGUAUGUAUGUAUACAGUGGAGAGCAAAUUGGAAAACAGUUCUGUUUAUCCUUCUCCCUUCCCCAGUAGAAAUAAAACAAAUCUUUAAAAAAAAAAAGAAGACAGACGCACGAUCUACAAACACAUGAAAAACUCAUCAUCCUUAAUCAUCAGAGAA